UGCAAGUCGUACGCUUCUUUUUCCACCGGAGCUUGCUCCACCGGAAAAAGAAGAGUGGCGAACGGGUGAGUAACACGUGGGUAACCUGCCCAUCAGAAGGGGAUAACACUUGGAAACAGGUGCUAAUACCGUAUAACAAUCGAAACCGCAUGGUUUUGAUUUGAAAGGCGCUUUCGGGUGUCGCUGAUGGAUGGACCCGCGGUGCAUUAGCUAGUUGGUGAGGUAACGGCUCACCAAGGCCACGAUGCAUAGCCGACCUGAGAGGGUGAUCGGCCACAUUGGGACUGAGACACGGCCCAAACUCCUACGGGAGGCAGCAGUAGGGAAUCUUCGGCAAUGGACGAAAGUCUGACCGAGCAACGCCGCGUGAGUGAAGAAGGUUUUCGGAUCGUAAAACUCUGUUGUUAGAGAAGAACAAGGAUGAGAGUAACUGUUCAUCCCUUGACGGUAUCUAACCAGAAAGCCACGGCUAACUACGUG
This 480-nucleotide ribosomal RNA is filed under the name Enterococcus durans. Its description in RNAcentral is "bacterial SSU rRNA". It matches the Rfam family "Bacterial small subunit ribosomal RNA", at positions 56 to 507 of the family's 1533-position model. The record is from RNAcentral. Lineage: Bacteria; Bacillati; Bacillota; Bacilli; Lactobacillales; Enterococcaceae.